RNAcentral lists this ribosomal RNA (484 nucleotides) under uncultured bacterium. Its description in RNAcentral is "partial 16S ribosomal RNA". It matches the Rfam family "Bacterial small subunit ribosomal RNA", at positions 30 to 507 of the family's 1533-position model. The record is from RNAcentral.
AUUGAACGCUGGCGGCAGGCCUAACACAUGCGAGUCGAGCGGAUGAAGGGAGCUUGCUCCUGGAUUCAGCGGCGGACGGGUGAGUAAUGCCUAGGAAUCUGCCUGGUAGUGGGGGAUAACGUCCGGAAACGGGCGCUAAUACCGCAUACGUCCUGAGGGAGAAAGUGGGGGAUCUUCGGACCUCACGCUAUCAGAUGAGCCUAGGUCGGAUUAGCUGGUUGGUGGGGUAAAGGCCUACCAAGGCGACGAUCCGUAACUGGUCUGAGAGGAUGAUCAGUCACACUGGAACUGAGACACGGUCCAGACUCCUACGGGAGGCAGCAGUGGGGAAUAUUGGACAAUGGGCGAAAGCCUGAUCCAGCCAUGCCGCGUGUGUGAAGAAGGUCUUCGGAUUGUAAAGCACUUUAAGUUGGGAGGAAGGGCAGUAAGUUAAUACCUUGCUGUUUUGACGUUACCAACAGAAUAAGCACCGGCUAACUUCGUG